Lycium barbarum (goji berry) is the source of this 611-nucleotide long non-coding RNA. RefSeq lists it as uncharacterized. The transcript is spliced from 3 exons. Lineage: Eukaryota; Viridiplantae; Streptophyta; Magnoliopsida; Solanales; Solanaceae. The record is from RefSeq and is a predicted model, not a curated record.
CUGCUGCUCUUCUCCUUCUUUCAUUGUGUCUUUCUUUCUCGCUUCCAUCUGGUUUUCCGCCCUUCUAACGUAAUUAGCAAAUUGCUUCAAUUUGUUUUCGUCAAUCAAUUGUUGGUUUUAUGCAAUUUAAAGUGUUGCGAUUCUGGAGUUGAUCACCCAUACUACUAUUUAGUGGUUUAUCAAUUCCAAGGACAGUAAGGACUCUGUUAUUAACCUACUACUCUCCUCAGGAACUACAGGAGAUCCGAAAGACAUUCCUUUCAGUCAUCUGACUCCUAUUCUAUGGCUUUAAUCUUUUUUUAAUCAAUUCGCGAUAGCUUGGCAAAGAAGGAGACGGACACAGGAUGAAAACGAUGAAUGUUGUGAUGGAUGAGAUAAAGAUGGAACAAUUAGUAGAAAUUGAAGAGCAAAAAAUGGGUCUAUGACUAUUUAGUUGAUUACAAAGGAUAGAGUUCCUCGCAGGGCUUCAACUUGUGGCUGGAAAGCCUCUUUUUGAUUAUUGGUAAGAAUUCGUCUAACAAAUGUCACAAGCACACAAUAGUUUCACUUUCCUUUACGUCUCAAAUCUCAAGAACAAAAGCAAAGUUUAUGGAUUUAUCUUGACAGUAUAA